AUGCAUGUGUAAGCGAAGCGUAAGUGGAGCGGCGUAAGGCUCAGUAACGGGCGAUUAUUUGAUCUCUCUCGGUGGAUAUCCUCUGUAAACGGAGGGCAAAACACAGAAGAGGCGGUGGUUACAUCGUCUGUUUAACGGAUAGUGAGAGAGAGUAAGAUGCCAUCCCAUCAGUUAGUAAGUAGGGUAAGGGCCUACUUAGACGAAGACGGGUACGGGGAAUUAUCGUUUGAUUCCGGAGAGGGAGCCUGAGAGACGGCUACCAGGUCCAAGGACAGCAGCAGGCGCGAAAAUUACCGCAGCCUGCAUUCAGGGCGGUAGUAAGGAGACGUGAAUACGAUGUGCAGGUAAAUGAUGCACUAAAUACAGGAGGACAAGACUGGUGCCAGCACCCGCGGUAAUACCAGCUCCUGGAGUGUCUAUGAUGAUUGCUGCAGUUAAAGAGUUCGUAGUCGGAGCGUUUUGACCGGCGUGACAGACUGCCACUCAAGGGGAGUUUUGCGCCGUGAUUACGCGGAAUGAGGAGCGUCUAGGGGCCAGGUUAUUAAGCGACGAGGGGUGAAAUCUGGUGACUCGCUUAGGAGCGACAGAGGCGAAAGCGCUGGCCAGGGGCGAAUCCGAUGAUAAAGGACGUAGGCUAGAGGAUCGAAGACGAUUAGAGACCGUUGUAGUUCUAGCAGUAAACGAUGCCGAUGCCGUGGUGCUUUGUGAGCGACGCGGAAGAGAAAUCUAGUAGGGCCCUGGGGAGAGUACGCGCGCAAGCGAGAAAUUUAAAGGAAAUUGACGGAAGAACACCACAAGGAGUGGAGUGUGCGGCUUAAUUUGACUCAACGCGGGACAGCUUACCAGGCCCGACGGCCGGACGAGUGUGGUACACGAUAGGCCGGAGAGUGGUGCAUGGCCGUUAACGACGAGUGGGGUGACCUUAGGGUUAAGUCCGGGAAGUAGUGAGACCCCUGCCAAGGACAGGUGCUGCAAGGCACAGGAAGGAAGGGUCAAGAACAGGUCAGUGAUGCCCUUAGAUGGUCUGGGCUGCACGCGCACUACAGUGGUUUCCAGAAUUGUGUUGUAGAGGUAAUGGAGAUCGAGAGGGAAUGAGCUUUGGAAGAGGCUCAGGAACGAGGAAUUGCUAGUAAUCGCGGACUCAUUAAGACGCGAUGAAUACGUCCCUGUUCUUUGUACACACCGCCCGUCGUUAUCGAAGAUGGAGUCAGGCGCGAACAAGCGAGAGCGAGGA
Molecule: ribosomal RNA, 1234 nt
Filed under: Glugea jazanensis
Lineage: Eukaryota; Fungi; Microsporidia; Glugeidae
Description: SSU rRNA
Rfam family: Microsporidia small subunit ribosomal RNA
Source: RNAcentral